GUUGCCUUACACACUAUGCAAGCUUUGCUGUUUGCAGUAAAACUGGCUGCUGCUUGCUCUUUGGGUCCACACUGACUUUAUGAGCUGUAGCACUCACCAUGAAGGUUUGUAGCUUUACUCUUGAAGCCAGUGAGAUUAAAAACCCACCGGGAGGAACAAACAACUCCAGUACGCGCCGCCUUAGGAGCUGUAACACUCACGGCGAAGGUCUGCAGCUUCACUCCUGAGCCAGCCGCACCACGAACCUAUCAGAAGGAAGAAACUCCGAACACAUCCGAACGUCAGGAACAAACUCCGGCCACGCCGCCUUUAAGAACUGUAGAACUCGCUACAGCACUCACCGUGAAGGUCUGCGAUUUCAUUCUUGAAGUCAGUGAGACCAAGAACCCACCAAGUCCGGACACAAUGGGACCUGUAUGCAGUCUAUGGGGCAGUUCAGACCAAAGGGCUGGGCGUGGCACCACAGCUGCCCCGAGCCCUUGGCCUCUCUGAGCUUUUCUCUCUCACCUGAGAAAUGGGAUUUCAAGGAAAAUGAGUAGCGGUAACUUACCCACCUUACUCCACGGUUACUGUGAAGCGCCCAGAAGAGAAGCCAUGGAUGUGGGCGACGCAUUCGAGCCAAAGCAGCUGAAUCACCAAGGCCAUGAAACGAAUGAGGAUCUGCCUGAUGUUCACCAGGCUGGCCCCUCCAGAUCACUGCAAAGUGGGGCAAGAUGAGAACAGCGCCAGGGGUUGAUGACACCCAGGGCGCC
Molecule: long non-coding RNA, 752 nt
Filed under: Homo sapiens (human)
Lineage: Eukaryota; Metazoa; Chordata; Mammalia; Primates; Hominidae
Description: non-protein coding lnc-BLM-6:3
Source: RNAcentral